Molecule: non-coding RNA, 1368 nt
Organism: Lolium perenne
Lineage: Eukaryota; Viridiplantae; Streptophyta; Magnoliopsida; Poales; Poaceae
Source: RefSeq, a predicted model, not a curated record
UGUAAACCUGUAAGAUUCAGUUCGAGCAAACUGCAGUCGUUAGUUCUGAACUUCCUCCCUACAUUGAGGGACUACCGGAGCACAUGGAUGAACAAAAAAGACCUAUGAGGAUGCAUAGCUUAUCUAGACAGAGGAUGGUAAUUGACUACCAGAGUACCAGUACAUAUGUAGAAGAUACCGAGUUUCCACGUGUUAAGGAGAGCUUAGCAAGGAAAUUGGUGAGGUGCCCUAAACGACAGUUGAUUUAUAUACGGAUGACCUUCUCUUGGGUUUAGCUUUUUAGAAACCCGAUAUUGUCUCAUGUUGAGGGAUAUGAACGAGGACUCAGUGAGUAGAAGGCAAAACUGUGCAAGCUAUUUAUUCCCAUAUCACCCAUCAGGCCAUUUUUUCCAGGUUUACUGAAAGUACAUGCUUCUUAUUAGGCUUGCUUCUUUAUGUCUAUGCAUAUUUAUUAAUUUCUGAAUAGCCUCUGAAAAUUAUUAAAAUCCUAUAGGACGACAUGUUUGCAUUUGUAUCUGAUGCAUCCCUUUAUAUUUUGUUUAGAUGGGAGCAUUUCUUCUUUUCGUCCUUAGCUUUUCAUUAAUAACAUGAAAGUAGCAGGUCAUGUGCAUUAGUAAUUCAACAUACGAGUAUAGCUAUGGCUCAUCACCCCCCGCUGUACACCCGGGAGUUGCAAUCCCUUUUACAGUAUCUGUGUUGUCUGUUUGGUAGGACGUUUUUUUAUUGAACUCUAUGCUCUUAUUUCUUAAUCUCGAUAGAAUUCUGUAUCGAGGAUAAUUCUUAUGGAAGUUAUUCUAAUAUGUACUGUAGAGCCAUAGAAAAAAUCUCAUAUUAGAGAACACAAGUUCGCAGCAGUUAAUAAUCUUAGAUUUCACAGCUGACUUAAGAUCUUAUUUUACUGCUCUGUAUAUACAAAUAUGCCACAUCAAAGUUCUUAAUUAUGCUCGAAGAUAGGAAAAUCUACCCCGGCCCAUUGUGUUGAUAAUAGAUGGCAUUGUCUUUUCUUUUUCAUCCGAGAUUGAGUAAGAUCCUGACAGCAUGUUGAUCCAUUUUCUGCUUUUGUUCUCUAUAAAAACGCUAACUUUGCCUCUAUCGAACUUCAUUUCAGGUAGCUUGGUGUUUGAGGGUAAACUAAAUUGAUUUUCUCCUAUUCUCUCCCAAUAUUCAGAACAAAAUUGACAGCUUUACGAUUGACGAGUUGCCUAACACCGAACCCUAGGGUGGACGCGGCUGCAAUACUGAAGUGUCUAGGGGUAUAAUCGGGGUUCUUUAUAGACCACCAAACUGAAGUUUUUCAUGCAGCCAAACCCAAACUUUAGUAGUCGUGACUAAGAUUAUUAAAUGUGAUAGGAGAGAAUGCCAAUCAUA